This 483-nucleotide ribosomal RNA is filed under the name Streptococcus parasanguinis. Its description in RNAcentral is "bacterial SSU rRNA". It matches the Rfam family "Bacterial small subunit ribosomal RNA", at positions 28 to 496 of the family's 1533-position model. Lineage: Bacteria; Bacillati; Bacillota; Bacilli; Lactobacillales; Streptococcaceae. The record is from RNAcentral.
GAUGAACGCGGGCGGCGUGCUAAUACAUGCAAGUAGAACGCUGAAGCUUGGUGCUUGCACCGAGCGGAUGAGUUGCGAACGGGUGAGUAACGCGUAGGUAACCUGCCUCUUAGCGGGGGAUAACUAUUGGAAACGAUAGCUAAUACCGCAUAAAAGUCGAUAUCGCAUGAUAUUGAUUUGAAAGGUGCAAUUGCAUCACUAAGAGAUGGACCUGCGCUGUAUUAGCUAGUUGGUGAGGUAACGGCUCACCAAGGCGACGAUACAUAGCCGACCUGAGAGGGUGAUCGGCCACACUGGGACUGAGACACGGCCCAGACUCCUACGGGAGGCAGCAGUAGGGAAUCUUCGGCAAUGGGGGCAACCCUGACCGAGCAACGCCGCGUGAGUGAAGAAGGUUUUCGGAUCGUAAAGCUCUGUUGUAAGAGAAGAACGAGUGUGAGAGUGGAAAGUUCACACUGUGACGGAACUACCAGAAAGGACGCA